GCCUCGGUAGCUCAGCGGUAGAGCAGGUGACUCUUAAUCACUUGGUCCAAGGUUCAAAUCCUUGCCGGGGCA
Molecule: transfer RNA, 72 nt
Filed under: Methylacidiphilales bacterium
Lineage: Bacteria; Pseudomonadati; Verrucomicrobiota; Methylacidiphilae; Methylacidiphilales
Also listed under: 1 other name
Description: Candidatus Methylacidiphilales bacterium tRNA-Lys
Rfam family: tRNA
About the family: Transfer RNA (tRNA) molecules are approximately 80 nucleotides in length. Their secondary structure includes four short double-helical elements and three loops (D, anti-codon, and T loops). Further hydrogen bonds mediate the characteristic L-shaped molecular structure. tRNAs have two regions of fundamental functional importance: the anti-codon, which is responsible for specific mRNA codon recognition, and the 3' end, to which the tRNAs corresponding amino acid is attached (by aminoacyl-tRNA synthetases). tRNAs cope with the degeneracy of the genetic code in two manners: having more than one tRNA (with a specific anti-codon) for a particular amino acid; and 'wobble' base-pairing, i.e. permitting non-standard base-pairing at the 3rd anti-codon position.
Source: RNAcentral